This 380-nucleotide unclassified non-coding RNA is filed under the name fungal sp. Its description in RNAcentral is "partial internal transcribed spacer region". The stretch from base 1 to 46 matches the Rfam family "Eukaryotic small subunit ribosomal RNA", at positions 1786 to 1831 of the family's 1831-position model. The record is from RNAcentral. Lineage: Eukaryota; Fungi.
AAGUCGUAACAAGGUUUCCGUAGGUGAACCUGCGGAAGGAUCAUUAACACUUUUUAAUACCAUACUCUACGGGGGAAAAGAAGAAGAAAUGCCUAAAUUUCCUUUUAGGUUAUUCUCUCUCUUUUCUCUCUUUUUUUUUCACCCCGAAAAAAAGCGAACAUGUUGGUGGGAUGAAUCAAGUUGUGGAUCACAACUUGAUUUAUUUCCCGCACUUUUUCCUUUUCCUUUUUUUAUUAUUAUCAUUCACCACAUGAACUUUUUCUAAGACUGAACUUUUUUUUUUAAUUUCUUUUGGGGUCUUUUCCCCCAAAAAAUAAUUAAAAAACUAAAAACUAAAAAACUUGAAAAAACAACUCUUAGCAACGGAUAUCUUGGUUCUC